AAAGCGCGCGUAGGUGGUUUGUUAAGUUGGAUGUGAAAUCCCCGGGCUCAACCUGGGAACUGCAUUCAAAACUGACUGACUAGAGUAAGGUAGAGGGUGGUGGAAUUUCCUGUGUAGCGGUGAAAUGCGUAGAUAUAGGAAGGAACACCAGUGGCGAAGGCGACCACCUGGACUAAUACUGACACUGAGGUGCGAAAGCGUGGGGAGCAAACAGGAUUAGAUACCCUAGU
RNAcentral lists this ribosomal RNA (230 nucleotides) under uncultured bacterium. RNAcentral's name for it is "partial 16S ribosomal RNA". It matches the Rfam family "Bacterial small subunit ribosomal RNA", at positions 562 to 791 of the family's 1533-position model. The record is from RNAcentral.